GACGAACGCUGGCGGCGUGCUUAACACAUGCGAGUCGAACGGAAAGGCCCUGCUUUUGUGGGGUGCUCGAGUGGCGAACGGGUGAGUAACACGUGAGUAACCUGCCCUUGACUUUGGGAUAACUUCAGGAAACUGGGGCUAAUACCGGAUAGGAGCUCCUGCUACAUGGUGGGGGUUGGAAAGUUUCGGCGGUUGGGGAUGGACUCGCGGCUUAUCAGCUUGUUGGUGGGGUAGUGGCUUACCAAGGCUUUGACGGGUAGCCGGCCUGAGAGGGUGACCGGCCACAUUGGGACUGAGAUACGGCCCAGACUCCUACGGGAGGCAGCAGUGGGGAAUAUUGCACAAUGGGCGGAAGCCUGAUGCAGCAACGCCGCGUGCGGGAUGACGGCCUUCGGGAUGUAAACCGCUUUCGCCUGUGACGAAGCGUGAGUGACGGUAAUGGGUAAAGAAGCACCGGCUAACUACGUG
This 468-nucleotide ribosomal RNA is filed under the name uncultured bacterium. RNAcentral's name for it is "partial 16S ribosomal RNA". It matches the Rfam family "Bacterial small subunit ribosomal RNA", at positions 28 to 507 of the family's 1533-position model. The record is from RNAcentral.